This 247-nucleotide long non-coding RNA is filed under the name Monodelphis domestica (gray short-tailed opossum). RNAcentral's name for it is "lncRNA (ENSMODG00000051432.1)". Lineage: Eukaryota; Metazoa; Chordata; Mammalia; Didelphimorphia; Didelphidae. The record is from RNAcentral.
CACAGUUCCCUUUCAAGGAAAUGACACAAUCUGCUUAUGAUUUUUUAAUGGCCUGAAUGAACACCUGGAUUUCUGCUUAAUCUCUUCACCUGUGCUGUGCAGAUGAAUAUCUGGAAGCCCAAAGAUCUGAAGUGACUAAUUUCAGACUGCAUAAGAAAUAAGUGGCAGCAGCAGGAUUCAAAUCCUCUGAAGUCCUCUGACUUCAAAACCAGUAAAUUCUCUUAUAGUUUGGGAGGAACAGUAGCUA